CUCGUUGUCUGUGAUUGUCUCCAAGUGUGUCUUGUUACCCUGUGUAUUUAAGUCUUGCUUCUCUGUCACUCAGUACUGCAUUCUACUGUUUCUGUUCCCAGUGUCUGUGACCCAUGUUUCAGAUUUUCUGGUGUUUUCCGAGUUCCCUGCGUGUUUCGAGUGUUUUGAGUUCCAUUACGUGUUUUCUGGAUUUAGUUUUCUUUUGGAAUUGCCCCUCUUAGCCUUUUGUUUGUUCUCAGGUUGUGUUUAUUUUUAUUUAUUUCACCAGGCAAGUCAUUAAGAACAUUCUUAUUUACAAUGGUGGCCUGUUAAGUAAAGUCUUCAUGUGAAAUAUCCUUUUGAUGUGUUCCAAGGAAGCCCGGUCUGUGUUAAGGCUUUCUGCCUUCCCCAGGACCUCCACCCACUCGGUGUCACCUGAAAUGGAUUUGCUUUGCUUCUCUGAAAUGUUCCAUUCUGCAAUUCAAGGGGGACCGUACAAAUUGCCGGCACGGUGCUGAAAAACUCCAACGAGACUGAUGUACCUCUCUGUACUUCUCAAAAGAAAGAGAAGAGAACAUUGCCAAGUAAUUUCAGCCAUACCAGUUACCUGUCACAAGAUUAGUCAAGCAAAGCGGUGAAAUCUGAAGCUGGAACCCGUUUGAAAGCUCAGAGGCCAGCGCUCUCUCUUUCUCUCUCUCUCUCUCGCCUUCAAAGUUUACAUUGUCACUAGGUACAGUAUACCACAGGCACACAAACCUGGCCUGGAUUUAAUAGCAUUGUGUCCUUGGUUUGUCCUUCAGUGAAGCUUUUUCACAAAUUAAAUGUGUUUUUUUUUCAUGCACAGUUUUCUGUUAAUUCCUGCUACCUCCAAACUUUCUGCAUAACAAGUCAUAACAAAUCAAAAAUGACAUUUGCUUGAAUUUGUGCCUGAUUUUUUUUUUUUUUAAUCUGCUUUGGAUGGUUUGAUUGAGGCCUAAUUUUUUGGCAACAGUAUCAAUGUUUGACCAAUAAUGUACUGCUUUUACUUGAAGCUAACAAAAAAAAGCAAAGCCUGUAAUUCUGUAAUUUUUCACUUGUACUGAUGUUGUGAAUUUUACAUGCUUACAAUUUCACUCUAUUUAUGUUUAUGUAAUUGGAAAAGGAGCCAUUGGAUGUGACAUAAUUAACUAUCACAUCACUUCUGGAAGAUAAAUAAAUAAUUGCAUUCAAAAAUGUGUGCGCUCUAAAAAAAAAAACAUAAGUGAAAUAAGAUGCAGUCAAUCAAAAGUCCUUUUCUAAUCGUGUCCUGUUAGCAGCCAUGGUAAUACUUUCAGUGUAAAAUGCAUUUGAACAACCGUGACAGCAACGAUGAAAAAGAAAUGUGAUUUACAUGUAAUCUAAUGUGAGCCAAUCAAUCAACAGACAAGCAGGCAGCAACAAUUAUGAUGCAUUUUAUCCACUUUGACGUUUGAUACGUAUUCAUUAUUCAUAUGCCUAUUUUUACUAACAGAAGGGAGAAAAAAGUAAAUCCGUAAUCUGUAAAUCCUCUAACAACAUGCCAUGAAUUUAUUUUAUUUCUUAAAAAAAAAAAAAAAAAAAAAAUUUCUCUUUCCUUUCACAUUAUAUUGUGGAGCAGACAUAGCCUUUAGCUUCCUGGACUGCCUUAGCCUAUUAAUUCCUUCUUUCAUAAACUCCGAAAUGCAUCACGCAGCUGAGAAUGAUACAAAAUGGAGCUGUCAUAAUCUGUCGCUUUGCACUUUCACUAUGUCACAGUUAGAUGCCCUUUAUUGGGAAGGAAAUGAAGAGAUGUGACACAGAACUGAAUGGUGUGGGGGAAAGAGACGGGAAAAAAAGCAGUGGAUCGAUACUGCUCGGGGAAAUAAGGUAGAGAAGGUUAUUUACUUGACAUUGAUCCGUUGCCGCGGCAGCACUGCCCAGCCUGGUUCUCUUGUGUUAACCUUUAAGCCGGUGUGUACUCACAAACGAUGAAGGAGUCCACUAACAGGUGUAGAUUAUGGAUCGAAGAAGGUCAUGGUACCUCUGUCACUGGCUGCUGCCCGUGUAGUAACAACCCAGAAGAAAUUUAAACAUCAAUAGGGAUAAUAAGGACAAAUUUAUCAAGCACAGGCCUGGUCUAGCUCCAAAGCCUGCCACUUUCCUGAGUAGCUGCCCCAGGCUGAGCUACAGUCAUUGCAGACAUUCUUUUCUCAACGAAUGGAUCAGUUGUGGCACAGCAUAUUAAUUAAUUCCCCUGCAGUACAAAAAUUUGAAGAUAGUAAUGAUCUAAGUUUGGUAUUAAACUGGAGAGUC
Molecule: long non-coding RNA, 2268 nt
Organism: Anguilla rostrata (American eel)
Lineage: Eukaryota; Metazoa; Chordata; Actinopteri; Anguilliformes; Anguillidae
Exons: 3
Source: RefSeq, a predicted model, not a curated record